GAUGAACGCUGGCGGCGUGCCUAAUACAUGCAAGUCGAGCGAACGGACGAGAAGCUUGCUUCUCUGAUGUUAGCGGCGGACGGGUGAGUAACACGUGGAUAACCUACCUAUAAGACUGGGAUAACUUCGGGAAACCGGAGCUAAUACCGGAUAAUAUUUUGAACCGCAUGGUUCAAAAGUGAAAGAUGGUCUUGCUGUCACUUAUAGAUGGAUCCGCGCUGCAUUAGCUAGUUGGUAAGGUAACGGCUUACCAAGGCAACGAUGCAUAGCCGACCUGAGAGGGUGAUCGGCCACACUGGAACUGAGACACGGUCCAGACUCCUACGGGAGGCAGCAGUAGGGAAUCUUCCGCAAUGGGCGAAAGCCUGACGGAGCAACGCCGAGUGAGUGAUGAAGGUCUUCGGAUCGUAAAACUCUGUUAUUAGGGAAGAACAUAUGUGUAAGUAACUGUGCACAUCUUGACGGUACCUAAUCAGAAAGCCACGGCUAACUACGUG
RNAcentral lists this ribosomal RNA (497 nucleotides) under uncultured bacterium. Its description in RNAcentral is "partial 16S ribosomal RNA". It matches the Rfam family "Bacterial small subunit ribosomal RNA", at positions 28 to 507 of the family's 1533-position model. The record is from RNAcentral.